This 384-nucleotide ribosomal RNA is filed under the name uncultured bacterium. RNAcentral's name for it is "partial 16S ribosomal RNA". It matches the Rfam family "Bacterial small subunit ribosomal RNA", at positions 338 to 733 of the family's 1533-position model. The record is from RNAcentral.
CCUACGGGGGGCAGCAGUCGAGAAUCAUUCACAAUGGUGGAAACCCUGAUGGUGCGACGCCGCGUGGGGGAAUGAAGGUCUUCGGAUUGUAAACCUCUGUCAUGUGGGAGCAAAUUAAAAAGAUAGUACCACAAGAGGAAGAGACGGCUAACUCUGUGCCAGCAGCUGCGGUAAUACAGAGGUCUCAAGCGUUGUUCGGAAUCACUGGGCGUGAAGCGUGCGUAGGCUGUUUCGUAAGUCGUGUGUGAAAGGUGCGGGCUCAACCCGCGGACGGCAGAUGAGACUGCGAGACUAGAGUAAGGGAGGGGGAACCGGAAGGCGCGGUGUAGCAGUGAAAUGCGUAGAUAUCGAGAGGAACACUCGUGGCGAAGGCAGGUUCCUGGA